AUAUAUAUUGCAGAAAAAUAAAAUAUCGCAAUGUAAUUUUUUCCCAAUAUCGUGCAGCCCUAGUGCUGACCUCUGCGAAUUCCCCAAAUGUGGGAAUCUCGAUUGCAUAAUUUAUGGUAGUGGGGGACUGCGUUUGCGCUCUCCCCUG
Molecule: small nuclear RNA, 148 nt
Organism: Cyprinus carpio carpio
Lineage: Eukaryota; Metazoa; Chordata; Actinopteri; Cypriniformes; Cyprinidae
Gene: U1
Rfam family: U1 spliceosomal RNA
About the family: U1 is a small nuclear RNA (snRNA) component of the spliceosome (involved in pre-mRNA splicing). Its 5' end forms complementary base pairs with the 5' splice junction, thus defining the 5' donor site of an intron.
Source: Ensembl